Molecule: RNA transcript, 3627 nt
Organism: Platichthys flesus (European flounder)
Lineage: Eukaryota; Metazoa; Chordata; Actinopteri; Pleuronectiformes; Pleuronectidae
Gene name: RNA-binding protein with multiple splicing-like
Exons: 8
Source: RefSeq, a predicted model, not a curated record
UCAGGGACCAGAGACACGAGCCGGAGCAGUUUUCCAGGGAACCACUGAGGAAUAUCUGACACAAAGCUGACUUCCAUCCAUCCAUCCUUCCUCCUCCAGUCAAGACAAGAUCCACCUUCCAUCUUCCAUGUCGCCAAACUAAAGAAGAAGAAGAAGAAAGAAGAAGAAGAAGAAGAAGCAGACCGGGCUCAGUUGGACAGCGGCCGCGCGCGGACUCCUGUCGUCUGCCCCUCUCUUCUUCUUUUCUACGCAACAAAAAGAGAGUAACCAUUUCGGUCCUGGAGGAAGCGAAGAGGAAGAAGACGCAGAAGCGAAAGGCGACGAGAGACGCGGAAGACGUGGAAGAAGACGACGGCGCAGGUGAAAGUGACAGAGGCAGAAUGAACAGCAACAAAACCGAGAAGGAGAUCGAGCAGAGUGAAUUCACCAACCACGAGGAGGAGGUCCGAACGCUAUUCGUCAGUGGACUACCGCUGGAUAUCAAGCCGCGGGAGCUCUAUCUCCUGUUCAGACCUUUUAAGGGUUAUGAAGGCUCCUUGAUCAAACUCACUUCGAAACAGCCGGUGGGGUUUGUCAGCUUUGACAGUCGAUCAGAGGCGGAGGCUGCUAAGAAUGCCUUGAACGGGGUCAGGUUUGAUCCGGAAAUCCCCCAGACCCUGCGGCUGGAGUUCGCCAAGGCCAACACCAAGAUGGCCAAGAACAAGCUGGUUGGCACCCCCAACCCCCUCCCUUCCCAGCAGAGCCCGGGGCCACAGUUCAUCAGCAGAGACCCAUAUUCGCUGGCUCCCACCUGCAGAUGGAACUCCUCAGGGAUGGAAGUCCAGGCAGUUCUGCUGAAGUAUGUGUUCCUGAUGUGUGAUGGUGGCCGUGGCCGGCUGUGACGGGCGUUGCUGACUGCUUCUCAUGUCCAUUAGAAAAGUAAGGAGGACCGACCGGACUCCAGCAUAGCAGAGCAGCGUACCGUCGGCAGCAGCAGCCUCCUGGGCCUCAGGACAUUCUAGACCCCAGCCUCCAUCACACAUCGAGACCCCCACCACCGUCCCCAAAGUCCCUCCAACUCUUUUUUUUUAUACUGUUACAUACUCUAGAUUUACUGGCAGUGCUUUGGCCACACCUCCACUGACCACUCUGUGAAAAGGUACCGGGCCCGCCCCCUUUGUUAACCACUCGACUGCAGUGACUGUCUGAGGCUACAAUCCACACUGGUACGUUUAAGUUUCAAAAACACACCGCUGUUGCUACGCUUACGCCUUACGUCCAAGCUGCACGUGAUCCUUUGAGGUGGCAUGGUGGUGCAGCGGUUAACCCACCCCACAGCAGAAAGGUUCCUGGUCUGAUCCCAGGUCUGCCGGGGCCCUUUCUGUGUGGAGUUUGCAUGUUCUCCCCGUGUCUGCGUGGGUUUUCUCCAUUUUCCUGCCCACAGUCUAAAGACCUGCAGAUUGUGGUUAGCCGUUUUGAAACUUAAGCGUAUUAUUGUGGAAGUAGCCCAACAUUAGCCGCUCUCUUGCUUUGUGUUCUGUACGUAAUAGAAGUGUAAAGACAAGCCCGUCCAAAAAAUACACUUUUAUUAUGACUUUGCAGGGCCAGACGUGUGGACGUGCGGGCUCAAGCACUGCUCGAUAAUGUUAUUAUAUUACUAUAAUUAUUACUCCUGUGUAUAUCAUUCAUAUUAAUGUUAUUACGAUUAUUAAAUACAUGUUGAAGCAUGACUUUGCAAAAAAACGAAGAAAAAAAAACAAUGCUGUACAUUUUUAGAUAUUUUAAAGAAAUACAAAAAAGGUAUUUUUGUAAUCCAGACGAUGUUUGAAAUGUUUGAUUGGUUUUAUGUUGUGUUGAAGUGUGUGAGGAACUUUUCCUGUUUUCUGUUUUGUUUUGGGCCCUCUCUCUUUAGUGCCAUUAUUAAAAAAAUGGCGUGUCACCCUGCUAUACCAAAGCAGCCCUGUCGGUUUGCUUUUGUCUACUCUAAAUACUGUGUGGUAGGUUUGCCCGUGUGUGUGUCUUCGUGGCGGCGCCUUUCACCCGAUGAAGGAAAAAACGUAUUAGUCCGAUGUGCUGUGGUUCAACCGAGCGGUCGACGCCUGAUCCAGCUCAUCAUUUUGCAGUUUGACGUAAUCAGACGUGUAAAAACAAAAAAAGGCAUUGACAGGAAUAAGCCAUCGGUGGUGAAGGAAGAGUGACCCCCCUCCCCCCCCCUCCUUAGAGACUGCAAAACAUGGCAAACUGAGUCCUGCUAUAAUUAGGAAGCUGUCUCUUCAUUGUCUAGCAGCAGGACAGCAGCACAGUAUGGAGACAUAAAAGACCAAAGGCAUUUUUUUUUUUACACUGGAGAGCUUUCUAGGCGAGUGGAGAUGUUCCGCUUUUUGACUGCUUUGUAGUCCUCAAUCUGAUUUCUUAUGAAGUGUGACGUUAUUUUUGCUUAAUGUCUCUUUUGGUGUCACUCCAAAGAGCCGGUCUGAAACGGAGACGAUAUUCACUUUAGGCAACUUGUCUCUUUUGUCUAUUUUUAGGGAGCCAAUGUGACUCAACCGGCUUUUGUAAAUUCUGAAUUUACAUACCGGUGAUUGUGGCGCAGAGAGCAAAAAAACAACACAUCUUUUGUAAUCUUGUGUAUUCUGGGCCUGCAAUAAUGUCUUUACUGUACGACAUGUCGAGAGAUAAUGUUCCUGUGACAUUUUGACGCCAAAAUUCUCGUUCGUGUCACAAUUUUGCACAAAAACAAAACCUGUGAGACUUUAACUUUCCCGGCGAGGCGAGGUCACAUUUCGCGGUGAUGUGACAAUCAAAAAAAAACUGAAACAAACCUUUUCCCGGUGACGUUUUAGCCCAGAUGUGUACAAUCAUGUUGGACCGGUCAAAUCAUAUAGUCAGUGUUUGUAAUUAAUAAUAAUGAUAAUAUGCACGCACAUCAUAUCGACUGAUUCUAAGCAGAUUUUGCUUUUACGGACAUUUUUGACGCCGAGUGUGGCACCAAAUUUCUAAGUAUUUAUAAGGUGUGUGUGUGUGCGUGUGUGUUUUUAAAUGGGUGUCAAGUUUUUGAAUUUCAUAGAAGAUGCCCAUCAUAUAAUUCAUUGUAAGUAUUAUUGUAAGUUUAAUUGUAUAUUCCUUUUACCGUAGGGGUUCAUUUUUUUUUUCUAGAGCUUCAUUUUUGUGUUUGUAUCUGACUGAUUGGAACAAACUGUAUGUGAUAUAUGAAUACUGUUUUAUCUUCACUGUGAAAUCCAGAGGAAAAACCUGCUCUUUGAACGAAUGGAUCUAGUUGUGUUUUGUCAGCAGUACGGUACAGAAGUUCCUGGAAAUGAACACGAUGAUCCCUCCUUUCGUAGAUGAAACCUACUCCUUCCCCCGUUUCAGUAUACCGUGUGCAUACCUGUGUGUUUUCUGUGCAUGUUCACGGCAUGUGUGUGUGUGUGUGUGUUCUUUUUACUUUUCCUUAAAUGCAUACAGUACUGUUGAUAUUUAUGUACUCCAGCCGCUGUAAGGAGAAACUGUAUUUCAGUGAAUUGCAGAGGUGUGUUUGUUUGAAACCCCCCCCCCCCCCCAAAAAAAAGGUGAUCAAAAUGAGAAGUUUUUAUAAAAUUGUUAAAUGAAGACAUUUCAGGCCGUCCGCCAUUAAAAAUUGACGUCAUU